CAGCUGGGCCGGACGGUCGCUGUUGCAAAACAGAGGAAAGUCCGAACUCCGCAGGGCAGUGUGCCGGAUAACGUCCGGGACGGCCGGUUCAAGCCGGUUGGACGGAAAGUGCCACAGAAAACAUACCGCCGGGGCCGCAAGGUUCCGGUAAGGGUGAAAAGGUGCGGUAAGAGCGCACCGCCGCCGCAGUAAUGCAGCGGGCAGGGCAAACCCCACACGGAGCAAGACCAAAUAGGGAGGAAGCUCCAGAAGAUCGGAGCGCGUGCCGGCUCGGUGCGCCACAACCUCCGGGUAGGUCGCUUGAGCCGCGCAGUAAUGCGUGGCCCAGAGGAAUGACCGUCCCGCCGCAAGGCGGACAGAAUUCGGCUUACAGGUCCGGCUGCCAA
This 386-nucleotide RNase P RNA is filed under the name Terriglobia bacterium. RNAcentral describes it as "RNase P RNA component class A". It matches the Rfam family "Bacterial RNase P class A". Rfam says of the family: Ribonuclease P (RNase P) is a ubiquitous endoribonuclease, found in archaea, bacteria and eukarya as well as chloroplasts and mitochondria. Its best characterised activity is the generation of mature 5'-ends of tRNAs by cleaving the 5'-leader elements of precursor-tRNAs. The record is from RNAcentral. Lineage: Bacteria; Pseudomonadati; Acidobacteriota; Terriglobia.